Molecule: long non-coding RNA, 4249 nt
Organism: Oncorhynchus tshawytscha (Chinook salmon)
Lineage: Eukaryota; Metazoa; Chordata; Actinopteri; Salmoniformes; Salmonidae
Source: Ensembl
UUUAGCGGUGAACGGUUUAGCGGGAACGGUUUAGCACGGUUUAGCGGUGAACGGUUUAGCGGGGAACGGUUUAGCGGGGAACGGUUUAGCGGUGAACGGUUUAGCGGGAACGGUUUAGCACGGUUUAGCGGUGAACGGUUUAGCGGGAACGGUUUAGCACGGUUUAGCGGUGAACGGUUUAGCGGGGAACGGUUUAGCGGUGAACGGUUUAGCGGUGAACGGUUUAGCGGGAACGGUUUAGCACGGUUUAGCGGUGAACGGUUUAGCGGUGAACGGUUUAGCGGGGAACGGUUUAGCACGGUUUAGCGGUGAACGGUUUAGCGGGAACGGUUUAGCACGGUUUAGCGGGGAAUGGUUUAGCCGUGAACAGUUUAGCGGGGAAUGGUUUAGCCGUGAACAGUUUAGCGGGGAAUGGUUUAGCCGUGAACAGUUUAGCCGUGAACAGUUUAGCCGUGAACGGUUUAGCGGGGAAUGGUUUAGCCGUGAACAGUUUAGCCGUGAACAGUUUAGCGGGAAUGGUUUAGCCGUGAACGGAUUAGCGGGGAAUGGUUUAGCCGUGAACAGUUUAGCCGUGAACGGUUUAGCGGGGAAUGGUUUAGCCGUGAACGGAUUAGCGGGGAAUGGUUUAGCCGUGAACGUUUAGCGGGGAAUGGUUUAGCCGUGAACGGAUUAGCGGGGAAUGGUUUAGCCGUGAACAGUUUAGCCGUGAACGGUUUAGCGGGGAAUGGUUUAGCCGUGAACGGAUUAGCGGGGAAUGGUUUAGCCGUGAACGGUUUAGCGGGGAAUGGUUUAGCCGUGAACGGAUUAGCGGGGAAUGGUUUAGCCGUGAACAGUUUAGCCGUGAACUGUUUACUUACUGUACCUUCUGUGCUGCUCACCUACAGUAUACUCUAGCAGACACAACAGUAUAACAAAUACCAAAAAGGACAAGUGUUAUUAUAAUACAUAGGAACAAUGAUAAUUGUUCACUCCUAUAUAGUCUUCAUGCUCUCACAUUGCUAUAGAAACACAUUCAUAUCCCCAGUCUCAGAUGUGCUGUGAGUAGUUGUGAUAAAGACAGUUUGAAGCUGGCUGUCAUCCCAAACAUCACAUCAAUGGACAGGGAGGGAGGGCUAUUCAGAACAGACAUACCAUUAUGACUACUUGUGAUAUUUACAGCAAAGAGGGAACCACCAACAAACGACAAAAUCAUGCAUAUGUAAAAGGAACACGCCAAGGGACAUGCAACUUAUGUAUUUUUUUCUAAAACAACAUCCGGGGAAGAGUUUUGUCAAAUCAACUCUUCACUUCAGACCAUUUGCUUUCUUUUUUAAAUAGAGGAGUCUUUGUAUUAACUUCCUGUGUAAAACAGCACUGUCUCCUGUCUAAGUAGGGUUAUGAUGCUUCACGUCAUCAGAUUGAUUUAUAACAAACAAAGUGGGAGAGGGACACCUUGAAACGAGAGUAAAAACCAAAAAUAACACUACCUCCUUUUCAAAAUGGUUCACACAAUAAAAGCAAAUGGGAGACUGGAGACCCUAAAUAUUUCAGUUCUUUUCCCAUUCUUCCUCAAUAAUAAUAGUGAAAUAUACCAAAACACAGCUUACUGUUACUACACAUUUUGUGGGUCUGAAAAAGCUUGUCUGGCUACCUGGACUCCAAAUUCACGAGCGUGAGCGUAAAAACAAAGAGACGUUACAACAACGUUGCAUCCCGUUAAAGAUGACUACCUCUCCUAAAACCACAGAGAACCGGUGCGUUCUCCUAAGAGUGAAGAGUGAAGUGGUUUAAAAGGUCUACUCUCAGCUGGGUAUUAUUGGCUGUCUCUGUGCUUUCAUUAGCAUAUGGCUCCGUGAACAGCCUCUUAAUUGGGUGCUCUAAUUGUAUGCACGCAUAUUGAUGAGCAGGCUUUGCCAGCAGCCAAUGAUAGUCCGGUCGUUAGUGGCGAUUCAAUGGGGCAGGAAGCUGAUUGUCAGGAGGGAGGAGGGGCAGAAUAUAUCAGUGCCCGGCACCCGCCAGUGGGCCACACACACACUAGUGCCCGCCACACGCCAAUGGGCCACACACACACUAGUGCCCGCCACACGCCAGCGGCCCGCACUUCACAUUAAUGCAGAAAACGGCUGUAAGAUGGCAGCGAUAAAAGACACACUCUCUUACAGUCUGUAGUCAGUGUUCAGUCAAAAGGGCCCUGAGUACCAGUCAGAGCUGGGAAUAUAAUCCCUGUGACAUGGAGCUGUCCCCUCAUGGUGAAUAGUGGCCGCUGUCACUAGGAGCCGGGCCCCUGGUGGCCCCUGUGGUUCAGACAGCUGAGGAGAGGCUCUGAGUAACUAAAGAUACUAUCCAAAGACAAACACAGAGCUUACUGUACACUGUACACCCUCAAUCGCCACUCGCUGGGAGAAGGGCAAUAAUAACACACGCUUACAAAGGAAUUUAUCAUUACUACUAUUAUUAUUGUUAUGAUCCAAACUCUCAUGAAUGAGGAACUGCUGCAUUCAGUAAAUAUAAAGAUCUUUGAAUUAUUGUGCUUUAAGGUACACCUGUAAACCACGCUGUUUUAUAAAGAUGUAGAUUGACAUUCGUUGAUGGUGUUGACAGAUCGCCAUAGACGGUUCUGUUCCUUCUCCGGCUUUGCUGUUAUGAUGUAUUAUUGUAUAUUAACGCUUGGCUUAGCUCUCGAGGGCAUUCUUUACCAUUAUGUCUUUUUGAUUUUCUGUUGUGUUCAUUUUCUGCACCUGUUUAGCUAUUGUAAAGCUUCCAGCUCUGAUUCCUAUACUGUAUUGCUAAUGCUGAAGUGUAUGUAUUUUAUCAUAUUAAGUGCUGCAGGUAUCUGGGUUUAAUAGUUUUUGUUUUGUCCUUUUUUUCAGUUUUCUUCAUAAAAACGUCUGGGACGAUGAUUUUUUAAGUGUAUUAUCUCUAAAAAAUUAAAUAACUAAAGUUAGAUAAGUGGUUUAGGUAACACCUGUUUGUAUAUUUAUCUUAGCUAGGUCUAUUUUGAUACUUUUGUCUCUGUACUGCAUUUAUGCAUUUUUAAGGAAAGAAAAAGAAAAACUUACUGAAAACAAUGUAAAAAGUUGACUUCAUUAUGUAUUGAUGAUACCUCAGAAGGACUUUUCUCUAAGACAGGACCAAAACCUCAGAAAAAAAAAGAGAAAUAUUAUUGAAGAAAAUAUGUUGCUUUUGAAGAUGAAGCAGUGUUGAGGUGAUGUUUUUGGUCCUUAAGGUGCCAAUAUGUGUCCUCUGAUCCCUGACCCCAGUCAUUCCUGAUGACCUUUAAGCCUCACAGCUGUCAAUCACUCCACAGGGCAACUGGGCGUGGCCCUGAGUCACACACCUGGUGAUGUUUGUCCAAUCGGAAUCUUUGUUUUCUUGCAUUCCCAAACACAACGACACAGACACAAACACACACACAUUCUAAUGGCUUUCAGAAAUCCAGUUCAUCUUCAGUCAUGCAUCGAAGGUUUUGUGAGUGGCCGUGGCACAUCAGCUAACAGACUACCACAACCGUAACCAAACCAACCCUAGGCAAUGCUCUAGAGCAACACCAAGGUGAAUGUCCUGUAUUAGCAACGUAAUAUACCACAAGCUACUUCCCAUACCACAAACCAUUCUACGCUAUCACUAUCAUCUCUCAGACAAGCACUCUUCCUAUUGGAUCAUUAGUGACUCCGGGGACCUACAUGGGCCCGCCCCCGCUCUAUGAUUGGACAGCUCUGAGGUGUCAUGUCGAGGAGAAGAGGUCUUAAAGGGGUGUUGCCCGAUGGUAUUAUUAACUUCACGGCCCAGAAAAAUGGAACUACCACUUCAGCUGUCCUCUGGUUGUAUCUUAGGAAUGUGUGUACAUUUUCAGCAGUGACUCUCUGUAAUGUUACUUAGUUUCAGUUUACCUGUUUACCUCUUAUCUUUUUAUUUCAUUCUGUUUGUUUACUUUGUAAGUGUGACCCAGGCGAAGGGGUACAGUAGGAGCAGGCGGUGGUUUUUCAGGCGGUCUAAAAGAGGUUUUUAAAAAGGCAACUGUCACCGAGACCUUUGCCCUUUCCCCUUUGCCCUUUCCCCCUUCCCUGGGUGGCCAUGUAAUGCCAGUCACUGCCCUUUUCCUCAUGCUGUAUAAAACACACACAUAUAUCUGUGUAUUUGUAACCUGAAUCUUCUUGUGUCUGUCCAUGCAGACAAUAAAACAGCUGUACAGUAGGUCUAGUUGCAUGUAAUCUGUACUAAUUAUUGACAAUGGCAUUAUAAAAUGCAAUAAAAUACUUAUUACACUGUC